This 292-nucleotide ribosomal RNA is filed under the name uncultured bacterium. Its description in RNAcentral is "partial 16S ribosomal RNA". It matches the Rfam family "Bacterial small subunit ribosomal RNA", at positions 505 to 796 of the family's 1533-position model. The record is from RNAcentral.
GUGCCAGCCGCCGCGGUAAUACAGAGGUCCCGAGCGUUAGGCGGAAUCACUGGGCUUAAAGCGUGUGUAGGUGGAUCGGUAAGUACCUUGUGAAAUCCCACAGCUUAACUGUGGAACUGCUUGGUAUACUGCCAGUCUUGAGCCAGCUAGGGGCUACCGGAACAAAUGGUGGAGCGGUGAAAUGCGUAGAUAUCAUUUGGAACGCCAAUGGUGAAAACAGGUAGCUGGGGCUGUGCUGACACUGAGACACGAAAGCCAGGGGAGCGAACGGGAUUAGAUACCCCCGUAGUCC